RNAcentral lists this ribosomal RNA (635 nucleotides) under bacterium TN34C. RNAcentral's name for it is "bacterial SSU rRNA". It matches the Rfam family "Bacterial small subunit ribosomal RNA", at positions 898 to 1531 of the family's 1533-position model. The record is from RNAcentral.
AACUCAAAGGAAUUGACGGGGGCCCGCACAAGCGGCGGAGCAUGCGGAUUAAUUCGAUGCAACGCGAAGAACCUUACCAAGGCUUGACAUGAACCGGUAAUACCUGGAAACAGGUGCCCCGCUUGCGGUCGGUUUACAGGUGGUGCAUGGUUGUCGUCAGCUCGUGUCGUGAGAUGUUGGGUUAAGUCCCGCAACGAGCGCAACCCUCGUUCUAUGUUGCCAGCGCGUUAUGGAGGGGACUCAUAGGAGACUGCCGGGGUCAACUCGGAGGAAGGUGGGGACGACGUCAAAUCAUCAUGCCCCUUAUGUCUUGGGCUUCACGCAUGCUACAAUGGCCGGUACAAAGGGUUGCGAUACUGUGAGGUGGAGCUAAUCCCAAAAAGCCGGUCUCAGUUCGGAUUGGGGUCUGCAACUCGACCCCAUGAAGUCGGAGUCGCUAGUAAUCGCAGAUCAGCAACGCUGCGGUGAAUACGUUCCCGGGCCUUGUACACACCGCCCGUCAAGUCACGAAAGUUGGUAACACCCGAAGCCGGUGGCCUAACCCUUGUGGGGGGAGCCGUCGAAGGUGGGACCGGCGAUUGGGACUAAGUCGUAACAAGGUAGCCGUACCGGAAGGUGCGGCUGGAUCACCUCCU